AGUCGACGGUGAACACGGAGCUUGCUCUGUGGGAUCAGUGGCGAACGGGUGAGUAACACGUGAGCAACCUGCCCCUGACUCUGGGAUAAGCGCUGGAAACGGCGUCUAAUACUGGAUACGAACCACGAAGGCAUCUUCAGUGGUUGGAAAGAAUUUCGGUUGGGGAUGGGCUCGCGGCCUAUCAGCUUGUUGGUGAGGUAAUGGCUCACCAAGGCGUCGACGGGUAGCCGGCCUGAGAGGGUGACCGGCCACACUGGGACUGAGACACGGCCCAGACUCCUACGGGAGGCAGCAGUGGGGAAUAUUGCACAAUGGGCGCAAGCCUGAUGCAGCAACGCCGCGUGAGGGAUGACGGCCUUCGGGUUGUAAACCUCUUUUAGCAGGGAAGAAGCGAAAGUGACGGUACCUGCAGAAAAAGCGCCGGCUAACUACGUGCCAGCAGCCGCGGUAAUACGUAGGGCGCAAGCGUUAUCCGGAAUUAUUGGGCGUAAAGAGCUCGUAGGCGGUUUGUCGCGUCUGCUGUGAAAUCCGGAGGCUCAACCUCCGGCCUGCAGUGGGUACGGGCAGACUAGAGUGCGGUAGGGGAGAUUGGAAUUCCUGGUGUAGCGGUGGAAUGCGCAGAUAUCAGGAGGAACACCGAUGGCGAAGGCAGAUCUCUGGGCCGUAACUGACGCUGAGGAGCGAAAGGGUGGGGAGCA
RNAcentral lists this ribosomal RNA (698 nucleotides) under Microbacterium sp. RNAcentral's name for it is "bacterial SSU rRNA". It matches the Rfam family "Bacterial small subunit ribosomal RNA", at positions 60 to 770 of the family's 1533-position model. The record is from RNAcentral. Lineage: Bacteria; Bacillati; Actinomycetota; Actinomycetes; Micrococcales; Microbacteriaceae.